RNAcentral lists this long non-coding RNA (1393 nucleotides) under Homo sapiens (human). RNAcentral describes it as "HSALNT0246166". Lineage: Eukaryota; Metazoa; Chordata; Mammalia; Primates; Hominidae. The record is from RNAcentral.
GCAGCUGUCCGGUUCGCCAAGCUGGUCCAGCCGACCUGUGCCCGGGGCCCCAGUUCAACGAGCUGGAGGACAAGGGACUCGCCCCGCGAGGCCUCGAGGGGGUCUGCCGCUCCUUCAUCAUGCUGUUUGGAACCUAGACACGAUGGUAGGAAGCCAUCUCGGACAGUGCAGACAAGGGUGAUACCGUGGCAGAGUGGAGCACCAAGCUAGAAGGAUCCUGGAUCCCUGGACAACUCAUGGAGCCAAGCCACCAUGCCCAUCCACGACUACCUCCUCCCAGCUGCUCUGGGAGGGAGAGACAAACCUGCUCCUUGCGCUCACCAUGAUUUUGGACUCUGUUUCAUGAACCCAAAGCUGUAGCCUACCUAGUUCAGUAGUGUAUUGGGAUGGGGCACCUUUGCAUUUUGGACUAUUGUAAGAAUUGAAUUACAUAUAUGUGCUAUUCUGCAACUUUCUUUUUCACUCAACUUUGUCACACUUAAAUUUCUUUUUUUGUCUUUUUUUUUUCCUUUUUGUGGAGAACGGGGUCUCACUGUAUUGCCCAGGCAGGUCUCGAACUCCUGGGCUCAAGCCGUCUUCCUGCCUCUGCCUCCCUGAGAGCUGGGAUUACAGGCAUGAGCCACCACACCCGGCCAGUUCAACUUUGUUCACAAGAAUUGCCAUCAUGUUGCAUGUGCUCUGAGUCUCAUUCUUGCUGCUCUGUGGAACUCCGUUACUUAAAUAGCCCAGAUCCGCAUCCAUUCUCCUGCCGAGGGCACCUGAGUUGUGUCCAGUCACUUGCCUCAGAGACAGUGAUCCAGUGAACAGAUUUGUCUCCUGAACGUGUGUUUGUUCAAGUCUCUCUAGGGUAAACACCUACAAGUGGAACUGCAGAGUAUGCGUAUGCAUACCUAAAUGACUUUACUAGAUCUUGCCAAAUUGCUCUUCAAAGUAGCUAUAAGAGCUCUUCCUGGUUUACAGCAAAGGUUGGCAAACUUUCUAUUAAGAGUCAGACAGUAAAUAUUUUUUGCUUUGCGGGCCUAAUGGUCUCUCGCAAAUAUUCAGUUGUGUCAUUAGUCUCUCGCAGUGCCAAAUGGUCUCACAAAUAUUCAGUUCUGCCAUGGCAGAUCAGAAGCAGCCAGAGACAAUAUGUAAACAAGUGGGCAUCUCUGUGUUCCAAUAAAACUUUAUUUACAAAAACAGCAGCUGGCCCAGUGCGGCCUCAGGGCUUAGCUUGUGGGCCUCUGCUCCAACAUUUGGUUAUUGUCAGUUUGGCCAGUCCGUGAAUUAUUUAUUCAUAUUUUUAUUGUCCAUUUUUCUUCUGUGAAAUGCUUACUCAUUUUUGCUUGUUUUCCUAUUUAGCCGUUCUGAGGAAUUUCGGUGCUCGAUAAUAACCAACUCUGUGUCCUUCGAU